Molecule: unclassified non-coding RNA, 378 nt
Filed under: uncultured bacterium
Lineage: Bacteria
Description: contains 16S-23S intergenic spacer region
Source: RNAcentral
UCCGGCUUAUCACCGGCAGUCCCUCUAGAGUGCCCAACUUAAUGAUGGCAACUAAAGGCGAGGGUUGCGCUCGUUGCGGGACUUAACCCAACAUCUCACGACACGAGCUGACGACAGCCAUGCAGCACCUGUGCACGUGUCCCGAAGGAGGCCCUGGCUUUCACCAGGGUUUCACGUGCAUGUCAAGUCCAGGUAAGGUUCUUCGCGUUGCAUCGAAUUAAUCCGCAUGCUCCGCUGCUUGUGCGGGCCCCCGUCAAUUCUUUUGAGUUUUAGCCUUGCGGCCGUACUCCCCAGGCGGAACACUUAACGCGUUGGCUGCGGCACAGGAGGAUUCGACUCCCCCCACACCUAGUGUUCAUCGUUUACGGCUAGGACUAC